AGUGACUACAAAUCUUUUGGACCC
This 24-nucleotide microRNA is filed under the name Prunus persica (peach). RNAcentral describes it as "microRNA miRNA_123". The record is from RNAcentral. Lineage: Eukaryota; Viridiplantae; Streptophyta; Magnoliopsida; Rosales; Rosaceae.